Molecule: ribosomal RNA, 437 nt
Filed under: uncultured Clostridium sp.
Lineage: Bacteria; Bacillati; Bacillota; Clostridia; Eubacteriales; Clostridiaceae
Description: partial 16S ribosomal RNA
Rfam family: Bacterial small subunit ribosomal RNA
Source: RNAcentral
ACGGGAGGCAGCAGUGGGGAAUAUUGGGUAAUGGGCGAAAGCCUGACCCAGCAACGCCGCGUGAGUGAAGAAGGCUUUCGGGUUGUAAAGCUCUAUCCUUGGGGACGAAGGAAGUGACGGUACCCAAGAAGGAAGCCCCGGCUAACUACGUGCCAGCAGCCGCGGUAAUACGUAGGGGGCAAGCGUUAUCCGGAUUUACUGGGUGUAAAGGGAGCGUAGACGGCAAGGCAAGUCUGAUGUGAAAGCCCGGGGCUCAACCCCGGGACUGCAUUGGAAACUGUCAAGCUAGAGUGCAGGAGAGGUAAGUGGAAUUCCUAGUGUAGCGGUGAAAUGCGUAGAUAUUAGGAGGAACACCAGUGGCGAAGGCGGCUUACUGGACUGUAACUGACGUUGAGGCUCGAAAGCGUGGGGAGCAAACAGGAUUAGAUACCCUGGUA